CCUACGGGUGGCAGCAGUGAGGAAUAUUGCACAAUGGGCGAGACCCUGAUCCAGCGAAGCCGCGUGAGUGAAGAAGUAAUUCGUUAUGUAAAGCCCUAUCAGCCGGGAAGAAAAUGACGGUACCUGAGUAAGAAGCCCCGGCUAACUACGUGCCAGCAGCCGCGAGAAUACGUAGGGGGCAAGCGUUAUCCGGAUUUACUGGGGGUAAAGGGAGCGUAGACGGCAGUGCAAGUCUGGAGUGAAAGGCGGGGGCUCAACCCCCGGACGGCUCUGGAAACUGUACGGCUGGAGUGCAGGAGAGGUAAGUGGAAUUCCUAGUGUAGCGGUGAAAUGCGUAGAUAUUAGGAGGAACACCAGUGGCGAAGGCGGCAUACCGGACUGUAACUGACGUUGAGGCUCGAAAGCGUGGGGAGCGAACAGGAUUAGAUACCCCAGUAGUC
This 440-nucleotide ribosomal RNA is filed under the name uncultured bacterium. RNAcentral's name for it is "partial 16S ribosomal RNA". It matches the Rfam family "Bacterial small subunit ribosomal RNA", at positions 338 to 795 of the family's 1533-position model. The record is from RNAcentral.